AUCAGCUGUUGCUGGACUCAUCUACUGUGUUGGCUGCAGUGGUCUGUGUGACUGGGCCUGGGGGAGCUAAACGUAGCUAGCUACCUAUUCCUGACCGCCCCCCGAAGUAUAUUCCUCUUACCCCAACCAGGGUACGUGCCUACAGUUAUCGAUUAUAUGCAUGUCGACCGGUUAACCUCCGUUGUGUUGCUGUGCAGCCUCCGGUAACGUUACUGCAGCUAUAUAACACCCGUCGGCACUAUGGUCAGCACUUGCGGAGCUUCUCAACUCCGAAAACGUUUGAACACAUUUUCGAUUCGCUGCCAAUUUUCAUAAAACUGCCGAUCUUCGACAUCUAUACAGUUGAUUUCUCGCCUAAAAACUUCUCAGAAGUGUAUUUAAAGUUCUGUUGUUGGCUUCUAAAGAAUAAAACGGUUUGCAUUAGGAUCAGGGUCUAUCAUGUACGUGAGCCGAGAUGAACGUCAUCACGUUUUGUGCGCAGUGUCUCCUGGGACAAACCAUAUUUGGAAGGUCAACUUCCGUCACGGUCUGCGCAGUAAACACAUGUAAACACAUUUCACCAGGGGUGAAAUGUGCCCUCCCGCCCAGCCCACUAGCGCAGUGCAUUCAGUUGGACCAAUCAGAAUCAAGCUUUUCAAAUCGACGACCCAAUCACACAGCGUGAAAGUCCCCUUCACGAAAGUUAUCGUGUGCACUAUCGUUGAGAGAGGGAAGCUAUUUCUGGCAAGAAAUCAUUUUGUUUCUCAGGUUUCCUUUGUUUUACUUUACCGACUCGGACUUGGCGAAGGUGGACACCACAGACAUAAUAAGAAAAGAACACAGAAGAGAAGAAUAUCCGGUCAGCUCCCUGCAGAAGUUAAAUGUGAAAAGAGCUAAAGAGGCGUGACUGGCAAGUUACAAGCAGGAGAGGACAGAGACUGCCGGCAAAAAUCGUCUUUGUUGCAUUUCUUUUCUUUUAGAGCUUCCUGGGAUCGUUGCCUCACUCAGGUGGCUCAGAGGCCACGAAAAUCUCAAAGGACCAGCUGGACCCUCACAAGCUCAAUGUGCUCAUAGAUGCUGUGUGAUAAAGCAGUUUUUCCAAAUCCCAUAGAGUCACUGCAACAAGUCCUACUCAAAGACCCUCCACUCCAAGGAUAAGGAUGGUGCCAUUUUUCAGUUUCAGUUUAGUUCCACCAUUUGUACUAUAUGCUUGUGACGGAGUACCUUCACUACAGUUGAGUAAGCGCUUGGACUGCCAUACCAACGAGCCUGGCUCUUUGGCGUUGCUGCCAAAGUUGCAUGUUUGGCAUGCUGUAGACCUGUGUUUGAAUCUGGGUAGGGUGACUGCUCUCGCCUUUGGCCGCAUAUGGUGUCAGAAGUAGGAUGGCUUGCCGUGAGGUCAUCUGAGCCGUGCCCAGAGUCCAAACCGCAUGAGGGACCUCCAUGGGUAACAUUAAUGAUGGGAUGUGUAUAGUGUACUUCAGUAAUACUGAUCAUAUGUCAUCAUUUUACUGAUUUUAUU
This is a long non-coding RNA of Micropterus salmoides (largemouth bass), 1501 nucleotides long. RefSeq lists it as uncharacterized. Lineage: Eukaryota; Metazoa; Chordata; Actinopteri; Centrarchiformes; Centrarchidae. The record is from RefSeq and is a predicted model, not a curated record. The transcript is spliced from 3 exons.